Unclassified non-coding RNA from Macaca fascicularis (crab-eating macaque), 148 nucleotides. It matches the Rfam family "Metazoan signal recognition particle RNA". From Rfam's summary of the family: The signal recognition particle (SRP) is a universally conserved ribonucleoprotein. It is involved in the co-translational targeting of proteins to membranes. The record is from Ensembl. Lineage: Eukaryota; Metazoa; Chordata; Mammalia; Primates; Cercopithecidae.
GCCGGGUGUGGUGGUGCACACCUGGAAUCCCAGCUACUCGGGAGGCUGAGGCAGGAGAAUUGCUUGAACCCAGGAGGUGGAGGUUGCAGUGAGCCGAGGUCAUGUCACUACACCCCAGCCUGGGUAACAGAGUGAGACUCCGUCUCUA